Molecule: small RNA, 21 nt
Filed under: Arabidopsis thaliana (thale cress)
Lineage: Eukaryota; Viridiplantae; Streptophyta; Magnoliopsida; Brassicales; Brassicaceae
Description: ATSL296110
Source: RNAcentral
GGAACAGCAUCUCCAGUUGCA